RNAcentral lists this ribosomal RNA (506 nucleotides) under uncultured bacterium. RNAcentral's name for it is "partial 16S ribosomal RNA". It matches the Rfam family "Bacterial small subunit ribosomal RNA", at positions 28 to 523 of the family's 1533-position model. The record is from RNAcentral.
GAUGAACGCUAGCUACAGGCUUAACACAUGCAAGUCGAGGGGUAACGAGAGGAAAGCUUGCUUUCCUUGUCGACGACCGGCGCACGGGUGAGUAACGCGUAUCCAACCUGCCCCCAACUAAGGAAUAACCUUGCGAAAGUAAGACUAAUACCUUAUAAUUUCCUCAGAUGUCAUCUGACGAGGAAUAAAGAUUUAUCGGUUGUGGAUGGGGAUGCGUCUGAUUAGCUUGUUGGCGGGGUAACGGCCCACCAAGGCAACGAUCAGUAGGGGUUCUGAGAGGAAGGUACCCCACAUUGGAACGGGGACACGGUCCAAACUCCUACGGGAGGAAGCAGGGAGGAAUAUUGGUCAAUGGGCGAAAGCCUGAACCAGCCAAGUAGCGUGCAGGAUGACGGCCCUAUGGGUUGUAAACUGCUUUUAUACAGGAAUAAAGUUAGCCACGUGUGGUUAUUUGUAGGUACUGUAUGAAUAAGGACCGGCUAAUUCCGUGCCAGCAGCCGCCGUAA